RNAcentral lists this ribosomal RNA (924 nucleotides) under uncultured bacterium. Its description in RNAcentral is "bacterial SSU rRNA". It matches the Rfam family "Bacterial small subunit ribosomal RNA", at positions 9 to 931 of the family's 1533-position model. The record is from RNAcentral.
GAGUUUGAUCAUGGCUCAGGAUGAACGCUAGCGGCAGGCUUAAUACAUGCAAGUCGAGGGGCAGCGCGGGUAGCAAUACUUGGCGGCGACCGGCAAACGGGUGCGGAACACGUACGCAACCUUCCCAAAACUGGGGAAUAGCCCUCCGAAAGGAGGAUUAAUACCCCGUAACACAAUUAAGAGGCAUCUCUUGAUUGUUAUAGCUCAGGCGGUUUUGGAUGGGCGUGCGGCUGAUUAGGUAGUUGGCGGGGUAACGGCCCACCAAGCCAUCGAUCAGUAACUGGUGUGAGAGCACGACCAGUCACACGGGCACUGAGACACGGGCCCGACUCCUACGGGAGGCAGCAGUAAGGAAUAUUGGUCAAUGGACGCAAGUCUGAACCAGCCAUGCCGCGUGAAGGAUGAAGGCCCUCUGGGUUGUAAACUUCUUUUAUCUGGGACGAAAAAAGGGGAUUCUUCCUCACUUGACGGUACCAGAGGAAUAAGCACCGGCUAACUCCGUGCCAGCAGCCGCGGUAAUACGGAGGGUGCAAGCGUUAUCCGGAUUCACUGGGUUUAAAGGGUGCGUAGGUGGGCAGGUAAGUCAGUGGUGAAAUCUUCGAGCUUAACUCGGAAACUGCCAUUGAUACUAUCUGUCUUGAAUAUCCUGGAGGUGAGCGGAAUAUGUCAUGUAGCGGUGAAAUGCUUAGAUAUGACAUAGAACACCAAUUGCGAAGGCAGCUCACUACGGGAUGAUUGACGCUGAGGCACGAAAGCGUGGGGAUCAAACAGGAUUAGAUACCCUGGUAGUCCACGCCCUAAACGAUGGAUACUCGACAUAUGCGAUACACUGUAUGUGUCUGAGCGAAAGCAUUAAGUAUCCCACCUGGGAAGUACGACCGCAAGGUUGAAACUCAAAGGAAUUGACGGGGGUCCGCACAAGCG